RNAcentral lists this ribosomal RNA (116 nucleotides) under uncultured bacterium. Its description in RNAcentral is "partial 16S ribosomal RNA". It matches the Rfam family "Bacterial small subunit ribosomal RNA", at positions 1388 to 1501 of the family's 1533-position model. The record is from RNAcentral.
CACCGCCCGUCACACCAUGGAAGCCAGCAGUACCGGAAGUCGGUGCGUUAACCCGCAAGGGAGAUAGCCGCCUAUGGUAUGACUGGUGACUGGGGUGAAGUCGUAACAAGGUACCC